CCUACGGGAGGCAGCAGUGGGGAAUUUUGGACAAUGGGCGCAAGCCUGAUCCAGCAAUGCCGCGUGCAGGAAGAAGGCCUUCGGGUUGUAAACUGCUUUUGUCAGGGAAGAAAUCUUCUGGGUUAAUACCUCGGGAGGAUGACGGUACCGAAGAAUAGACCUGAUUCC
Molecule: ribosomal RNA, 168 nt
Filed under: uncultured bacterium
Lineage: Bacteria
Description: partial 16S ribosomal RNA
Rfam family: Bacterial small subunit ribosomal RNA
Source: RNAcentral